Molecule: unclassified non-coding RNA, 2632 nt
Filed under: Agrilus planipennis (emerald ash borer)
Lineage: Eukaryota; Metazoa; Arthropoda; Insecta; Coleoptera; Buprestidae
Description: uncharacterized LOC108736631, transcript variant X6
Source: RNAcentral
GACAAUUCUCAGAAAUGUGACGUGAAUAAUAAAAGAGACAAUCUUCCAUAUCAAGUGUUUAAGAUGGUUUAAGGAACGUGUGUAACAAAAUAAAAGAUGUUUGAUUACAAGUUGCAAGUGAUAUUUUGUCUUUAAAGUGGAAGAACUUGUGGAGAAAAUUGUAUAUGUUUAUACGAAUCUUACAUCGUGAUAUUUUCGUCUCUCCAGUUUUAAAGGCAAAAACUACGGAUGAUAGACUUCUUAUAAUAUCUACUUGAUCAUAUCACUUCACAAUUACCUGCAAUGGAUCCUAAUGGAAGUUCUGAGAAGUGUUCAUGUGAGGAUACUGAAUCUCCUCAAUCCAGCAACGAAAAGAACGACUCGGAAAUCGUAGCAACCCCAGCAACCUCACCUUCCCCAAGAAGAUCUAAAUUAAGUCUUUCAGCUCUAGGUUUGAAUAUUCGUAAGGGGCGCUCCCUAAACUUUACUCUGAAACGGUCUAAAAAACAACCGUCUUCGAACUUUCCACUUUCAUUUUCCACAUUCAAAAAAUCAUCGAAAUGGGUUACAAAGCUUAAUUGUUCGAAGAAAACUCCAAAAGAACCUGAAAGCCAGUCUUGCUGUCAAUGCACCUGCUACCGCAAAACAGAAGACCAUCCAUUGGGGGCGGGUGUUGUGUUUUCAAACCAAGAAGAAGCCAGCAGCAGCAGUAGUAGUAGUAGUAAUAGUAGCAGUACUAGUAGUAAUAGCGGUAGUGGUGGUACCAUCCCAAGUGAAACUGGGGAGUGCAGUAAAAAUGUAUUACCGGAAAACAGUAAUGCAACUAGAGAAGAAGAAACACCUUAUGGAAGUUGUGCUUCCAGUGUAGUACCAAAUAAUCACAAUCCUGCUUCUCAGCAGAGAUCUGGUAAUGAAGAAGGAUCAGGACUUGUACUUCAUAGGGAUCUGUACAGUGGAUCAACUGGAAAUAUAAUUGUACCUCCACCGUUUAUUGAUAUGCACUGGUUGCACACAUUUCACGACUGUGAUGAAACUGCUCGGCUGCAAAGGGCGCGAGAAAUCGAGCAGGGUGUGGAAAUACCCGUCUCAUCGAGACAACCGCCACGUCGAGUACAACUUGUGUGCUCAGAUGUAGAGGGUGACAACGGGCAGACGCCAAGGCGUUUGCAACUAGUAUGUCCCCCUGAUCUGACUGUUGACUCCCUUCGUGCUCUCUUUCACACGCACAUUAUGCUACGCACCUGUCCCAUAGACACAAUCACUGGGUGCCACACACAAGUGGACUUUAUACAUUGUCUUGUGCCUGACCUGUUAGAUGUUACAAACUGUAGCUUUUAUUGGGGGAAAAUGGACAGAUACGAAGCAGAGCGUCUUCUGGACGGUAAACCCGAGGGAACUUUUCUUCUCCGAGAUUCAGCUCAAGAGGAGUUUCUUUUCAGCGUUUCAUUUCGGAAGUAUGGAAGAUCGUUGCAUGCGCGAAUCGAGCAGUGGAAUCACAAGUUCAGUUUCGAUUCUCACGAUCCAGGAGUCUAUACUUCGGAAACUGUUUGCGACUUAAUCAAACAUUACAAGGACCCCAGCACGUGCAUGUUCUUCGAGCCGAUGCUAACGUGGCCCUUGCAUCGAAAUUUUGUCUUCCCCUUGCAGCAUCUGUGCCGUGCUACCAUCGUCAAUCGCAUUACGUAUGAUGACGUCAACCAACUACAGUUGCCCAAAUGUCUUAAAGCGUAUCUAAAGGAGUACCAUUAUAGGCAGAAGGUGCGCGUGGAACGAUUCGAUGAUGAUGUACAAUGGCUCGAUUUGCGGAACUUGCAGGUCUAAGUAAAUAUUUUAAAUGAUAAUUAUUAUACAUUCAUGAAUAAUAUCAAUCGAAUGAUCGUUUAUUGGUUUUACUUUUUGUUUUUGUUUCUAUUGUUAAUUAAUAUUUAGCCUGGCAAAUUUCGUUUUAUAAAGUAUGCCAUGGUUACAAACAACAAGUGAAUAUUAUUAAAAACAACUGCAACAACUUCUGUACUUUUACCAAUAAAGAAUCAUCUUCAAGGCAUUGCUCCAUUUGUAAAUUUUGAAGCAUUGUUGUCGGCUGAAAGUAUAUGAGAAGAUUUUCAUGGCCGAUGUUACCUCAAGGGGGCUCAGUAUUUGGUCUUAUGGCCGGGAGUGUAGAAUCAUUUGCUGAGUUGUGCUGAGGCUAAGAGAUUAUGAGACACUAAGUCUUAUCACAACUGUAGUCGACUCAUCGAAGGAGGAAAACCAACCAAUGUUGAAUCAUAAAUAUCGAGUCCUCUUCAAACAUUAAAUCAGUCCGAUUAUAAUUGUGUACUUAAUGUUUUUUUAAUUGCUGCUUAUUACAUGAUGUGAAUUUAUGCAAAUGGGCAGCUUUUAUUAGCCAGUAUUAAUUCUGUUGAUACCUGCAAUAUUUGCAAUAGUAGAUUAUUGGAAACGUAUAAUGUUUCCUUUUUUUUACAAUUGAUUAUCUACAUUUUAAUACAAUUAUAACGGAAUUUACUUUGUGUAUUUUUUUAUUUCAACUUAAACGAAUUAGUACAUGUUAAGGUGUAAUUUGUUUUAUUUAAACAUCUUUAAGUUAAUGUGUUUUUUGCCUAUUGUAGUGUUAAUGCAUUUUUUGCAGUAAAAAAGUUGUUGAAAUGGAUUGACU